UACCUGUGGCCCCGGUGGGGGAUCUACUG
RNAcentral lists this non-coding RNA (29 nucleotides) under Homo sapiens (human). Lineage: Eukaryota; Metazoa; Chordata; Mammalia; Primates; Hominidae. The record is from RNAcentral.